This 487-nucleotide ribosomal RNA is filed under the name Flavobacterium sp. FlavoEI_XT4r3BE11_D04_28. Its description in RNAcentral is "bacterial SSU rRNA". It matches the Rfam family "Bacterial small subunit ribosomal RNA", at positions 65 to 553 of the family's 1533-position model. Lineage: Bacteria; Pseudomonadati; Bacteroidota; Flavobacteriia; Flavobacteriales; Flavobacteriaceae. The record is from RNAcentral.
AGGGGUAGAAUUCUUCGGAAUUUGAGACCGGCGCACGGGUGCGUAACGCGUAUGCAAUCUGCCUUCCACAGAGGGAUAGCCCAGAGAAAUUUGGAUUAAUACCUCAUAGUAUAGCCAAACCGCAUGGUUUGGCUAUUAAAGUCACAACGGUGGAAGAUGAGCAUGCGUCCCAUUAGCUAGUUGGUAAGGUAACGGCUUACCAAGGCUACGAUGGGUAGGGGUCCUGAUAGGGAGAUCCCCCACACUGGUACUGAGACACGGACCAGACUCCUACGGGAGGCAGCAGUGAGGAAUAUUGGUCAAUGGGCGCAAGCCUGAACCAGCCAUGCCGCGUGCAGGAUGACGGUCCUAUGGAUUGUAAACUGCUUUUGUACGGGAAGAAACACUCCGACGUGUCGGAGCUUGACGGUACCGUAAGAAUAAGGAUCGGCUAACUCCGUGCCAGCAGCCGCGGUAAUACGGAGGAUCCAAGCGUUAUCCGGAAUCA